UACGUAGGGCGCAAGCGUUGUCCGGAAUUAUUGGGCGUAAAGAGCUCGUAGGCGGCCUGUUGCGUCCGCUGUGAAAUCCCGGGGCUCAACCCCGGGCCCGCAGUGGAUACGGGCUGGCUAGAGGCAGGCAGGGGAGAACGGAAUUCCUGGUGUAGCGGUGAAAUGCGCAGAUAUCAGGAGGAACACCGGUGGCGAAGGCGGUUCUCUGGGCCUGUACUGACGCUGAGGAGCGAAAGCGUGGGGAGCAAACAGG
Molecule: ribosomal RNA, 253 nt
Filed under: uncultured bacterium
Lineage: Bacteria
Description: partial 16S ribosomal RNA
Rfam family: Bacterial small subunit ribosomal RNA
Source: RNAcentral